This 464-nucleotide ribosomal RNA is filed under the name uncultured bacterium. RNAcentral describes it as "partial 16S ribosomal RNA". It matches the Rfam family "Bacterial small subunit ribosomal RNA", at positions 338 to 795 of the family's 1533-position model. The record is from RNAcentral.
CCUACGGGUGGCAGCAGCCAGGAAUCUUGCGCAAUGGGCGAAAGCCUGACGCAGCAACGCCGCGUGGGCGAUGAAGGCCUUCGGGUCGUAAAGCCCUGUUGUCGGGGACGAAGGGCGAAGGGUUAAUAGCCCCUAGCCUGACGGUACCCGACGAGGAAGCCCCGGCUAACUACGUGCCAGCAGCCGCGGUAAUACGUAGGGGGCGAGCGUUGUCCGGAAUCAUUGGGCGUAAAGAGCGUGUAGGCGGCCCGGUAAGUCCGCUGUGAAAACCCGGGGCUCAACCCCGGGCGUGCAGUGGAAACUGCCGGGCUAGAGGGCGGCAGAGGCGAGUGGAAUUCCCGGUGUAGCGGUGAAAUGCGCAGAUAUCGGGAGGAACACCGGUAGCGAAGGCGGCUCGCUGGGCCGUUCCUGACGCUGAGACGCGAAAGCUAGGGGAGCGAACAGGAUUAGAUACCCCUGUAGUC